This 460-nucleotide ribosomal RNA is filed under the name uncultured bacterium. RNAcentral describes it as "bacterial SSU rRNA". It matches the Rfam family "Bacterial small subunit ribosomal RNA", at positions 327 to 804 of the family's 1533-position model. The record is from RNAcentral.
CGCCUUAUACUCCUACGGGAGGCAGCAGUGGGGAAUUUUGGACAAUGGGGGCAACCCUGAUCCAGCAAUGCCGCGUGAGUGAUGAAGGCCCUAGGGUUGUAAAGCUCUUCCACCCGGGAAGAUAAUGACUGUACCGGGAGAAUAAGCCCCGGCUAACUCCGUGCCAGCAGCCGCGGUAAUACGGAAGGGGCUAGCGUUGUUCGGAAUUACUGGGCGUAAAGCGCACGUAGGCGGCUUUGUAAGUCAGAGGUGAAAGCCUGGAGCUCAACUCCAGAACUGCCUUUGAGACUGCAUCGCUUGAAUCCAGGAGAGGUCAGUGGAAUUCCGAGUGUAGAGGUGAAAUUCGUAGAUAUUCGGAAGAACACCAGUGGCGAAGGCGGCUGACUGGACUGGUAUUGACGCUGAGGUGCGAAAGCGUGGGGAGCAAACAGGAUUAGAUACCCUUGUAGUCCACGUACCA